Molecule: ribosomal RNA, 460 nt
Filed under: uncultured bacterium
Lineage: Bacteria
Description: partial 16S ribosomal RNA
Rfam family: Bacterial small subunit ribosomal RNA
Source: RNAcentral
CCUACGGGCGGCAGCAGUGAGGAAUAUUGGUCAAUGGACGCAAGUCUGAACCAGCCAUGCCGCGUGCAGGAAGACGGCUCUAUGAGUUGUAAACUGCUUUUGUACGAGGGUAAACGCAGAUACGCGUAUCUGUCUGAAAGUAUCCCCCGAAUAAUGAUCGGCUAACUCCGUGCCAGCAGCCGCGGUAAUACGGAGGAUUCAAGCGUUAUCCGGAUUUAUUGGGUUUAAAGGGUGCGUAGGCGGUCGGAUAAGUUAGAGGUGAAAUCCCGAGGCUCAACUUCGGAAUUGCCUCUGAUACUGUUCGGCGAGAGAGUAGUUGCGGUAGGCGGAAUGUAUGGUGUAGCGGUGAAAUGCUUAGAGAUCAUACAGAACACCGAUUGCGAAGGCAGCUUACCAAGCUACUUCUGACGUUGAGGCACGAAAGCGUGGGGAGCAAACAGGAUUAGAUACCCGAGUAGUC